UACGUAGGGGGCUAGCGUUGUCCGGAAUCACUGGGCGUAAAGGGUUCGCAGGCGGAAAUGGAAGUCAGAUGUAAAAGGGAGUAGCUUAACUACUGUAAGCAAUUGAAACUGCUUAUCUUGAGAAUAGUAGAGGGGAGUGGAAUUUUUAGUGUAGCGGUGAAAUGCGUAGAUAUUAGGAAGAAUACCGGUUGCGAAGGCGACUUUCUGGCCAUAAACUGACGCUGAGGUACGAAAGCGUGGGUAGCAAACAGG
Molecule: ribosomal RNA, 252 nt
Filed under: uncultured bacterium
Lineage: Bacteria
Description: partial 16S ribosomal RNA
Rfam family: Bacterial small subunit ribosomal RNA
Source: RNAcentral